Molecule: small nucleolar RNA, 74 nt
Organism: Phoenix dactylifera (date palm)
Lineage: Eukaryota; Viridiplantae; Streptophyta; Magnoliopsida; Arecales; Arecaceae
Product: small nucleolar RNA snoR60
Source: RefSeq, a predicted model, not a curated record
AAGCAUAGAAUGAAUAACUCAGAUUCCCCUUCAAGACGUCAAAAUGGAUGAUGCAAGUUCAAGUUUUGGAUGCG